Molecule: ribosomal RNA, 406 nt
Filed under: uncultured bacterium
Lineage: Bacteria
Description: partial 16S ribosomal RNA
Rfam family: Bacterial small subunit ribosomal RNA
Source: RNAcentral
AUUGAACGCUGGCGGCAGGCUUAACACAUGCAAGUCGAACGAGUGGCGGACGGGUGAGUAAUGCCUGGGAAUCUGGCUUAUGGAGGGGGAUAACGACGGGAAACUGUAGCUAAUACCGCAUACAAUCAGAUGUGCCCAAGUGGGAUUAGGUGGUUGGUGGGGUAAGGGCCAACCAAGUCGACGAUCCCUAGCUGGUCUGAGAGGAUGACCGGCCACACCGGGACUGUGACACGGUCCAGACUCCUACGGGAGGCAGCAGUGGGGAAUAUUGCGCAAUGGGCGCCACCCUGAUGCAGCCAUGCCGCGGGAAUGAAGAAGGCCUUCGGGUUGUAAAGUACUUUCAGCGAGGAGGCGUUAAUCACAGAAGAAGCACCGGCUAACUCCGUGCCAGCAGCCGCGGUAAUAC